AUUUAGCCCUUAGUUAUAGAACACGAUAUGCAUGCUCAGACACAUUGGAGAUGGAAAUAUUACAAUCACUGCAAUUAAUAGUUCAGGUUCCAAUAAUCAUUUAAAGAUACAAUCAUUUUCAAAAUGACCUAGUACAACCAACUACAACAAGUACCAUGUAGAAUACAAUUAGAUUGUUCCAUUCUAGGGUUAUUUUUAUGUUGUAAAUUUAAAAGGCCAACAGUGCGUUAUGUCAAAAAUUAUAUUUUUCAUAUUUAGAAGAUGCACACAACAGAGCUGAGUACUAACAGUGGUAACCUGUUGGUCGUCUUACAUUUAAUAGCAGUUACACCCUCCCCUUAAAAAUUUUUCAAUGUACCAAAGAAAAAGGAAAAAGAAAGAGAGAGAGAAACAGGAUCUCAUAUGGUUUGUGCUAAUUCAACCCCUCAAGGAAUCAUAUCCAUAUAUAACUUAGGAAUGUUAAAGUGAAACACCAAUUAUUUCAAGAUUAUCUCAUUUGCUAGUUUCCAAAGAAAUCAAUAAAGGGUCCCAGAGAAUGAAACCAAAGCUUAAAUAAUUCCUGGCAAAACACUGAGUAUAUUACAUAACAGCAAUAAAACGUUCAUUUCAUACAACUAACAAAAAUAUAUAUAUA
Molecule: unclassified non-coding RNA, 634 nt
Filed under: Hevea brasiliensis (rubber tree)
Lineage: Eukaryota; Viridiplantae; Streptophyta; Magnoliopsida; Malpighiales; Euphorbiaceae
Source: RNAcentral